RNAcentral lists this RNase P RNA (350 nucleotides) under Marinobacter pelagius. RNAcentral describes it as "Bacterial RNase P class A". It matches the Rfam family "Bacterial RNase P class A". Rfam says of the family: Ribonuclease P (RNase P) is a ubiquitous endoribonuclease, found in archaea, bacteria and eukarya as well as chloroplasts and mitochondria. Its best characterised activity is the generation of mature 5'-ends of tRNAs by cleaving the 5'-leader elements of precursor-tRNAs. Lineage: Bacteria; Pseudomonadati; Pseudomonadota; Gammaproteobacteria; Pseudomonadales; Marinobacteraceae. The record is from RNAcentral.
CGAGCUCGCCAGACAGUCGCCGCCGGUCCGCCGGGGGAGGAAAGUCCGGGCUCCGCAGGGCAAGGUGCCAGGUAACGCCUGGGCGGCGUGAGCCGACGGAAAGUGCAACAGAAAGUAUACCGCCUAAGCGCCUUCGGGCGCCGGUAAGGGUGAAACGGUGCGGUAAGAGCGCACCGCGUGGCUGGCAACAGUCCACGGCGAUGGUAAACCCCACCUGGAGCAAGACCAAAUAGGAAUCCGAUGGCGUGGCCCGCGCUGGAUUCGGGUAGGUUGCUUGAGGCCUGUGGUGACGCAGGCCCUAGAUGAAUGACUGUCCAAGACAGAACCCGGCUUAUCGGCGAGCUCGCCUU